GAUGAAGAACGUAGCGAAAUGCGAUAAGUAAUGUGAAUUGCAGAAUUCAGUGAAUCAUCGAAUCUUUGAACGCACCUUGCGCCCUUUGGCUAUUCCGAAGGGCAUGCCUGUUUGAGUAUCAUGAACACCUCAACUCUCAUGGCUUGCCAUGAUGAGCUUGGACUUUUGGGGGUCUUGCUGGCCUGUGGUCAGCUCCUCUCAAAUGAAUUAGCCUGCCAGUGUUUGGUUGCAUCACAGGUGUGAUAACUAUCUACGCUUGUGGUUUUCCACCAGGUAACCUUCAGUGAUGAAGGUUCGCUGGGGCUCAUAAACGUCUCUCCUCAGUGAGGACAGAUCUUUGAACGUUUGAUCUCAAAUCAGGUAGGACUACCCGCUGAACUUAAGCAUAUCAAUAAGCGGAGGA
RNAcentral lists this unclassified non-coding RNA (403 nucleotides) under soil metagenome. RNAcentral's name for it is "partial contains 5.8S ribosomal RNA, internal transcribed spacer 2, and large subunit ribosomal RNA". The stretch from base 1 to 121 matches the Rfam family "5.8S ribosomal RNA", at positions 35 to 154 of the family's 154-position model. The record is from RNAcentral.